RNAcentral lists this ribosomal RNA (253 nucleotides) under uncultured bacterium. RNAcentral describes it as "partial 16S ribosomal RNA". It matches the Rfam family "Bacterial small subunit ribosomal RNA", at positions 524 to 776 of the family's 1533-position model. The record is from RNAcentral.
UACGUAGGGGGCAAGCGUUGUCCGGAUUUAUUGGGCGUAAAGAGCGUGUAGGCGGCCAUGUAGGUCCGUUGUGAAAACUCGAGGCUCAACCUCGAGACGUCGGUUGAAACCGUACGGCUAGAGUCCGGAAGAGGAGAGUGGAAUUCCCGGUGUAGCGGUGAAAUGCGCAGAUAUCGGGAAGAACACCCGUGGCGAAGGCGGCUCUCUGGGACGGUACUGACGCUGAGACGCGAAAGCGUGGGGAGCGAACAGG